GUAUUGCUGAGGAGUCCCACAAUAGGACAAAACGCAUGUCCAGUGC
This 46-nucleotide non-coding RNA is filed under the name Schistosoma haematobium. Lineage: Eukaryota; Metazoa; Platyhelminthes; Trematoda; Strigeidida; Schistosomatidae. The record is from RNAcentral.